RNAcentral lists this ribosomal RNA (1469 nucleotides) under Nostoc sp. BKP_SB59. RNAcentral describes it as "bacterial SSU rRNA". It matches the Rfam family "Bacterial small subunit ribosomal RNA". Lineage: Bacteria; Bacillati; Cyanobacteriota; Cyanophyceae; Nostocales; Nostocaceae. The record is from RNAcentral.
AGAGUUUGAUGAACGCUGGCGGUAUGCUUAACACAUGCAAGUCGAACGGUGUCUUCGGACACAGUGGCGGACGGGUGAGUAACGCGUGAGAAUCUGGCUCUAGGUCUGGGACAACCACUGGAAACGGUGGCUAAUACCGGAUGUGCCGAGAGGUGAAAGGUUAACUGCCUAGAGAUGAGCUCGCGUCUGAUUAGCUAGUUGGAAGUGUAAUGGACUCCCAAGGCGACGAUCAGUAGCUGGUCUGAGAGGACGAUCAGCCACACUGGGACUGAGACACGGCCCAGACUCCUACGGGAGGCAGCAGUGGGGAAUUUUCCGCAAUGGGCGAAAGCCUGACGGAGCAAUACCGCGUGAGGGAGGAAGGCUCUUGGGUCGUAAACCUCCUUUCUCAGGGAAGAACACAAUGACGGUACCUGAGGAAUAAGCAUCGGCUAACUCCGUGCCAGCAGCCGCGGUAAUACGGAGGAUGCAAGCGUUAUCCGGAAUGAUUGGGCGUAAAGCGUCCGCAGGUGGCAAUGUAAGUCUGCUGUUAAAGAGUCUAGCUCAACUAGAUAAGAGCAGUGGAAACUACAUAGCUAGAGUACGUUCGGGGCAGAGGGAAUUCCUGGUGUAGCGGUGAAAUGCGUAGAGAUCAGGAAGAACACCGGUGGCGAAGGCGCUCUGCUAGGCCGUAACUGACACUGAGGGACGAAAGCUAGGGGAGCGAAUGGGAUUAGAUACCCCAGUAGUCCUAGCCGUAAACGAUGGAUACUAGGCGUGGCUUGUAUCGACCCGAGCCGUGCCGUAGCUAACGCGUUAAGUAUCCCGCCUGGGGAGUACGCCGGCAACGGUGAAACUCAAAGGAAUUGACGGGGGCCCGCACAAGCGGUGGAGUAUGUGGUUUAAUUCGAUGCAACGCGAAGAACCUUACCAAGGCUUGACAUGUCGCGAAUCCUGGUGAAAGCUGGGAGUGCCUUCGGGAGCGCGAACACAGGUGGUGCAUGGCUGUCGUCAGCUCGUGUCGUGAGAUGUUGGGUUAAGUCCCGCAACGAGCGCAACCCUCGUUUUUAGUUGCCAGCAUUAAGUUGGGCACUCUAGAGAGACUGCCGGUGACAAACCGGAGGAAGGUGGGGAUGACGUCAAGUCAGCAUGCCCCUUACGCCUUGGGCUACACACGUACUACAAUGCUCCGGACAGAGGGCAGCAAGCAUGCGAAUGCAAGCAAAUCCCGUAAACCGGAGCUCAGUUCAGAUCGCAGGCUGCAACUCGCCUGCGUGAAGGAGGAAUCGCUAGUAAUUGCAGGUCAGCAUACUGCAGUGAAUUCGUUCCCGGGCCUUGUACACACCGCCCGUCACACCAUGGAAGCUGGUAGUGCCCGAAGUCAUUACUCCAACCUUUCGGGGAGGAGGAUGCCUAAGGCAGGACUGGUGACUGGGGUGAAGUCGUAACAAGGUAGCCGUACCGGAAGGUGUGGCUGGAUCACCUCCUUU